CGGGCACAUUGUCAAGAUGGGGGCAGACUACAGCACCAUGGUGGACCAGCGCCUACCCGAGUGCGAGAAGCUAGCCAAGGAAGAACGACUUCAGGAAGUUAUUGUAACCCUUCUUUCUUUGGAAAAACAGUCUUGUACUGCUUCCAACAGUGUGUCUACAUUCUGUAUUUUAGUUGCAGUAGUGAGGAUGUGCUACGAGGCUAAAAAAUGGGAUUUCCUGAAUGAAAAUAUUAUGCUUUUGUCCAAAAGGAGGAGUCGGUUAAAACAAGCUGUUGCAAAAAUGGUUCAACGGUGCUGUACCUAUGCUGAAAUAACAGACCUUCCAAUUAAACUUUGAUUAAUUGAUACUCUACGAAUGGUUACAAAAGGAAAGAUUGAUGUUGAAAUUGAGUGUGCUCAACUAACUAAAACCUUAGCAACUAUAAGAGAGCAAAAUGGCGAUGUGAAAGAGGCAGCUUCCAUCUUACAAGAGUUAUAGGUGGAAACUUAUGGGUCAAUGGAGAAGAAGGAGCCAGUGGAGUUCUUUCUGGAGCAAAUGAGGCUCUGCCUCACGGUGAAGGAUUACAUCUGGACACAAACCAUCAACAAGAAGAUUAACACCAAAUUUUUCCAGGAAGAAAAUACAGAGAAAUUAAAGUUGAAAUACUAUAAUUUGAUGAUCCAGCUGGAUCAGCACGAGGGAUCCUAUUUGUCUAUUUGUAAGCACUACAGAGCGAUAUAUGACACUCCCUGUAUACAGGCAGAAAGAGAAAAGUGGCAGCAGACUCUGAAGAGUGUUGUGCUCUGUGUUAUCCUGGCUCCUUUUGAAAAUGAACUGUCAGAUCUGGUUCACCGAAUAAGUGGUGACAAGAAGUUAGAAGAAAUUCCCAAAGACAAGGAUCUUUUAAAACUUUUUACCACAAUGGAAUUGAUGCAUUGGUCCAUGCUCGUUGGGGACUAGGGAAUGGAGUUAAGGAAAGGCUGAUGUCUUUGGUUCUACCGAGGAAGGUGAACAAAGGUGGAAAGACCCAAAGAACAGAGCUGUUGGACAUGUAAGAAUCUGGCAUGAUAGGGAUGACAAUUUUUAUUUUAACCCGAGUUCCGACGCGCUCAACCCCGCGGCGCCUCCCGAGCCCGCGAAACUGUUCUCCCGCGAGAACGCCCCGCCGGCCCCGCCCCCCCGCUCCGCUCCCUUAUUGGCUGAAGUCAGCCGCGGUCCUGGAGUUCGUUCCGCCCCCUUCCGCCACUCUCAAAGGCGCGCUAUGGACCGGCUCUUUGUGCCAGCCAAUCAUCGCCAGUUUUCUUCACCUUUUUUUCCUGUGUCUUCAGUCCGGCAGUUCCCGACCCUUUCACUCUUCUCUAGUUAA
This is an RNA transcript of Carlito syrichta (Philippine tarsier), 1346 nucleotides long. It is a transcript of the gene named 26S proteasome non-ATPase regulatory subunit 12 pseudogene, with no coding region annotated. The transcript has 3 exons. The record is from RefSeq and is a predicted model, not a curated record. Lineage: Eukaryota; Metazoa; Chordata; Mammalia; Primates; Tarsiidae.